GACGAACGCUGGCGGCGUGCUUAACACAUGCAAGUCGAACGGGAUCCACUGGGCUUUUGUUUGGUGGUGAGAGUGGCGAACGGGUGAGUAAUGCGUGACUAACCUGCCGUAUGGUUGGGGAUAGCUCCUGGAAACGGGUGGUAACACCCAAUGCUCCAGCUGGAUGCAUGUCUGGUUGGGAAAGCUUUUGUGCCAUAUGAUGGGGUCGCGUCCUAUCAGCUUGUUGGUGGGGUGAUGGCCUACCAAGGCGUCGACGGGUAGCCGGCCUAAGAGGGCGACCGGCCACAUUGGGACUGAGAUACGGCCCAGACUCCUACGGGAGGCAGCAGUGGGGAAUAUUGCACAAUGGGCGCAAGCCUGAUGCAGCGACGCCGCGUGCGGGAUGGAGGCCUUCGGGUUGUAAACCGCUUUUAUAGGGGGGCAAGCUAUGCCUGUGUGGUGUGGUGAGUGGACUUUAUGAAUAAGCACCGGCUAA
Molecule: ribosomal RNA, 475 nt
Filed under: Scardovia sp. oral taxon 195
Lineage: Bacteria; Bacillati; Actinomycetota; Actinomycetes; Bifidobacteriales; Bifidobacteriaceae
Description: bacterial SSU rRNA
Rfam family: Bacterial small subunit ribosomal RNA
Source: RNAcentral